Molecule: ribosomal RNA, 430 nt
Filed under: Pseudomonadota bacterium
Lineage: Bacteria; Pseudomonadati; Pseudomonadota
Description: Proteobacteria bacterium partial 16S ribosomal RNA
Rfam family: Bacterial small subunit ribosomal RNA
Source: RNAcentral
UGGGGAAUAUUGGACAAUGGGGGGAACCCUGAUCCAGCCAUGCCGCGUGUGUGAAGAAGGCCUUAUGGUUGUAAAGCACUUUAAGCGAGGAGGAGGGUACUGGUAUUAAUACUACCAGCUACUGGACGUUACUCGCAGAAUAAGCACCGGCUAACUCUGUGCCAGCAGCCGCGGUAAUACAGAGGGUGCGAGCGUUAAUCGGAUUUACUGGGCGUAAAGCGUGCGUAGGCGGCUAAUUGAGUCGGAUGUGAAAUCCCCGAGCUUAACUUGGGAAUUGCAUUCGAUACUGGUUAGCUAGAGUGUGGGAGAGGAUGGUAGAAUUCCAGGUGUAGCGGUGAAAUGCGUAGAGAUCUGGAGGAAUACCGAUGGCGAAGGCAGACAUCUGGCCUAACACUGACGCUGAGGUACGAAAGCAUGGGGAGCAAACAGG